This 273-nucleotide ribosomal RNA is filed under the name Enterobacter kobei. RNAcentral describes it as "partial 23S ribosomal RNA". It matches the Rfam family "Bacterial large subunit ribosomal RNA", at positions 1 to 275 of the family's 2925-position model. Lineage: Bacteria; Pseudomonadati; Pseudomonadota; Gammaproteobacteria; Enterobacterales; Enterobacteriaceae. The record is from RNAcentral.
GGUUAAGCGACUAAGCGUACACGGUGGAUGCCCUGGCAGUCAGAGGCGAUGAAGGACGUGCUAAUCUGCGAAAAGCGCCGGCGAGGUGAUAUGAACCUUUGACCCGGCGAUGUCCGAAUGGGGAAACCCAGUGUGUUCCGACACACUAUCGUUAACUGAAUACAUAGGUUAACGAGGCGAACCGGGGGAACUGAAACAUCUAAGUACCCCGAGGAAAAGAAAUCAACCGAGAUUCCCCCAGUAGCGGCGAGCGAACGGGGAGCAGCCCGCCCG